GAUACGGGGAUGCACGCCCUGGCACUGCCCCGUUGUCCCCAGAGGAAGUCGAGCCGCGCCAAGGAGAAGAAGCAGCGGCGGCUGGAGGAGCGCGCGGCCAUGGCCGCGGUGUGUGCCCGCGUGGAGGCUGCCAACCAGCUCCGCGACCCCCUCGAGGCCUUCCCGGUCUUCAAGAAGUACGACAGGAACGGGCUGAACGUGUCCACCGAGUGCUGCCGUGUCCC
Molecule: long non-coding RNA, 224 nt
Organism: Passer montanus (Eurasian tree sparrow)
Lineage: Eukaryota; Metazoa; Chordata; Aves; Passeriformes; Passeridae
Exons: 3
Source: RefSeq, a predicted model, not a curated record